This 305-nucleotide ribosomal RNA is filed under the name uncultured bacterium. RNAcentral describes it as "bacterial SSU rRNA". It matches the Rfam family "Bacterial small subunit ribosomal RNA", at positions 335 to 658 of the family's 1533-position model. The record is from RNAcentral.
GCCCUACGGGGCGCAGCAGUGGGGAAUAUUGGGCAAUGGGCGCAAGCCUGACCCAGCAAUGCUGCGUGAAGGAAGAAGGCCUUCGGGUUGUAAACUAUUGUCGUGAGGGAAGAAAUUGACAGUACCUCAGGAGGAAGCUCCGGCUAACUAUGUGCCAGCAGCCGCGGUAAUACAUAGGGAGCAAGCGUUAUCCGGAUUUAUUGGGUGUAAAGGGUGCGUAGACGGGAAAUUAAGUUAGUUGUGAAAUCCCUCGGCUUAACUGAGGAACUGCAACUAAAACUGGUUUUCUUGAGUACUGGAGAGGA